Mobula hypostoma (lesser devil ray) is the source of this 68-nucleotide non-coding RNA. The record is from the annotation of a RefSeq genome assembly. NCBI's taxonomy places the organism in Eukaryota, Metazoa, Chordata, Chondrichthyes, Myliobatiformes, Myliobatidae.
GCUAGCUCAGUUGGUAGAGCAUGAGACUCUUGUUCUCGGGAUCGUGGGUUCGAGCCCCACAAUAGGCG